UUUCUCAAGAUAUGACUUCUUUAGCAUCAUAAGCCUCUAAAGAGCACUCGAGCGUACCCUACAUCAUCACGGCUUCUCUUGUACUACAUGGGCUUAUGGUGGUAUGUGCUAAUUAACUUCUCUCUCGAUAUUUAUGAGAAUUGUCGUUAAUAAAAAAGGAAAACUAGAUGUCUAAGGAGGAACGUGGUAUUUUCUAUAAGUAGAGCUAACAUGAACAACCACUCCUUUGAUGAUAUGCUACAUUUUUCCAACAAGGAAUUGAACUACUCUCUAGGAAAGGGAGUUUAGAUUUUUUUUGUUAUUAAUGAUGGGUUCAGACUCGAUGGAUGCUUGUUCUAGAAAGAAGUCUAGAAAGAAGUCACUGAAUUGAUAUCAACUAAAGCAAUCUCUUCUUUAUACAAGAGGCAAGGGCUACCUUGAUAGCACGUAAAAACAUGAAUUGUUUGAGUUCUUUUUUUUAAUACAAGAAAGUUAAUUUUGCAAGAUAUUAUGAAAGGUCGCAUCAAAUACUAUCUGAGGCACAUCACAGGUGAAGUCGGCGAGUGUACGAUGUGUGCCGGGACUUGGACAAGUAUUGCUUUUGAUAUUAAUGGGAAAGACAAUGGAGGCUACUUUGCUCGACAGUACUAUCACGGUAGAUUUGGAAAUUGUAUACAACGGAGGCUACUUUGCUUGACAGAAACUUAUUGUUCAGGAUGCAUUCUGCAGGUUCCAUUACUGAUGUGGUACACAAUGCUUACUACACAUGUCACCUUAUUUUCUUGUUAUGCAAUUUAUCUAAUUAAGCAAAUGUCUCAGCGUCAUAUAUUGUUAAUCUGCAUUGCUACUAUAGACCACGGAGUAAGUUAGAUCUUCUUCUUGCCGCAAGCACGUGCAUUGCAAGCUUGCCCAUAUUUUUUGUAGCCACUAUACUUUAUUUUUCUAUGUCUGUGCAUUAUUGGCAUGUCAAUUGGAGAAUUUAAAAAUACCCCUACAAAUUAUGACAUAGCUCAAGUUUCAUCUUUUUGGGGUCAAUGAUUUGACAUCUGAAUCAGAUGUGUUAAUAUGAGCUACACAAAAUUUAAGUAUGUUAUAUCAUUCCAUAAUGCUAGAAUAUUCAUCAGUGAUUUCUAUAGGUUCAUUCUUUUUACCAUGGUGUUCGUACAAGGAUAACAUGAUAUAGACAAACUAUAAUCAUGCUUUCCUGCAUUGCAAGUUGCCCAUAUUAUUUUUAGAUGUUGGUUCUCUUCAUUUUCAUUUUAAAGUUUUAGUCUCAAGGCAUCCAUGCUAGCUUACUAUAGAAUUGAACACAAUUGAUGAACCUGAAAUCUUUAUGGGCGAGGUGCUGUAGCGAGAUUACUUUUUUUAAUCUGUUUUUCACGCCGAGAGAUGGUGAAAUUGUCCAUGCUCAGUGUCAUUCCUUGUUCUUAUUCAUGAGCUGCCAUGGUUAGUGUCACGUGUAUGCACAAUUGUAUUUCAUAAUACUGAACAACCUUGCAGGUGACAUAUUUUCCUUCUAGGUGGCCUGGUUUGCGACAACAUACUGGUGACAGUGAGCACCGAAAGAUAGAGAUGCAUGUAAGGAAUUGCCUAUUAGUGGCAUCAAGCACCAGAAUAGAAGAUACAAAAUAGGGUAGGGGAAAGAUAUGGCAGUGAAGAGAGUUGUUUGGUAUGUGCGUGUGUACGUGAUUGUUGGGUUGUUCUGUGUUGUAAGUGCAGU
Molecule: long non-coding RNA, 1699 nt
Filed under: Hordeum vulgare
Lineage: Eukaryota; Viridiplantae; Streptophyta; Magnoliopsida; Poales; Poaceae
Description: long non-coding RNA (HVUL_LNC012769)
Source: RNAcentral